Molecule: unclassified non-coding RNA, 346 nt
Filed under: soil metagenome
Description: partial contains 5.8S ribosomal RNA, internal transcribed spacer 2, and large subunit ribosomal RNA
Rfam family: 5.8S ribosomal RNA (bases 1-119)
Source: RNAcentral
GAUGAAGAACGCAGCGAAAUGCGAUACGUAAUGUGAAUUGCAAAUUCAGUGAAUCAUCGAGUCUUUGAACGCACAUUGCGCCCCCUGGUAUUCCGGGGGGCAUGCCUGUCCGAGCGUCAUUGCUGCCCUCAAGCACGGCUUGUGUGUUGGGCCCCGUCCUCCGAUCCCGGGGGACGGGCCCGAAAGGCAGCGGCGGCACCGCGUCCGGUCCUCGAGCGUAUGGGGCUUUGUCACCCGCUCUGUAGGCCCGGCCGGCGCUUGCCGAUCAACCCAAAUUUUUUAUCCAGGUUGACCUCGGGUCAGGUAGGGAUACCCGCUGAACUUAAGCAUAUCAAUAAGCGGAGGA